Molecule: long non-coding RNA, 477 nt
Filed under: Pan troglodytes (chimpanzee)
Lineage: Eukaryota; Metazoa; Chordata; Mammalia; Primates; Hominidae
Description: long non-coding RNA NONPTRT016692
Source: RNAcentral
CGGCUAAUUUUUGUAUUUUUAGUAGAGACGGGGUUUCACCAGGUUGGGCAGGCUGGUCUCGAAUUGCUGACCUCAAGUGAUCUGCCCGCCUCGGCCUCCCAAAGUGCUGGGAAUCCAGGUGUGAGCCACCACGCCUGGACACGCCCAGCUAGCCACCAUGCCCAGCUAAUGUUUGUAUUUUUUGUAGACAUGGGUUUCACCAUGUUGGCCAGGCUUGCCUCAAACUCCUGACCUCAAGUGAUUCACCCACCUGGGCCUCCCAAAUUUCUGUGAUUACUGGGAUUACAGGUGUGAGCCACUGUGUCCAGCCUAUUCCCUUUUAUUUUCAUUUCCCAGUCCCGUUCUCUGCUAAUCCUGAAAUUUUCUUUUUUUUUUUUGAGAUGGAGUUUCACUCUGUUGCCCAGGCUGAUCUUGGCUCACUGCAACCUCUGCCUCCUGGGAUUUCAAGCAAUUCUCCUGUCUCAGCCUCCGGAGUAG